GACAACACAACCUUUGUGCAUUUAUUUGGUAUGCCUUUCCCCUGGCCGGUCGCUGCCCUUCCGGACGCCUUUAUAAUCCAGUCCUCGAUUCGUUCUUCUCCACGGAGCGUUUGUGCAUUUCCCCUCUAGCGCCAGCUCUAUUCUAGUCGUCGAGUCCUUUCGCCGAGCCCUUGGGAUGUCUGGAUCGUUGUCCUCUGUCAACCAGGUAUGCUGUUCUUCGUUCUUCCUUGUCUCGAGGAGCUGCACUCGGCCAUCCGGCGGCCUGAUUUUACUCUUCCUAUCCUUAGAGGGCGCCGGACCGCGAGCUGGAACGGGUCGUCGAAAUCCUCCAUUUGGACGGAGACUCUCCCUGGCUAAUAGAGAGUUGCUUCUUGCCAACCGUGAUCGGAUUGGAGACUGCCUUCCUGCCGGUGUGUCUUCCGUUGAGGCGUUCAGGUCGAUGUAUCCUCAAUCCUUUCCUUCAUCAAUUCCCAGGGCUCAGGUCGACAGGAAGCGGGACCCUCCCAUAAGGUCAACCGGCCCUCCCGCGCUGCCUCUGAUGCCUCGUCGGCCGUCGUGGGGCUAGACCUUCUUGACGCUCAAGUGGCCGCCGUCGAGGAGUCGCGCCUCAGACUCUUGUUGAUGCUCGGGCGUACCCAGAGGGAAAUCGACGAGCUUAAGGCUAGAGCCAGACGCAAGUGAUGUAACUCUUGGCAUUCUUUUUCUUGUGGGUCGUCCCGCCCGUGCUCGCCGACGUACCAGGCUGUGGCCGGUUUCCCCUCAUCGGCAAUAUGUGCUUUUAUGUUUCUGUAUUUUUGUUGCAUAUUUUUGUUCUAAAGGCGAUGCCCUAGCAUCGGCUGUUGUUAGCUCGAAUCAUAGUAUCAUCGGCUGUAACUGUCAUGUUGAUCUUUCAAGCGUCCACCCAUAUACUUGGGUGGUAUCUCUUCAAGUAUUUCCCGUUCAGGGCUCUUGUAAAUUCCUCCUCUUCGAGGGUUUCUAGUAUGUAUGUGUUCCACGAGGCACGUCGGCACACUCGGUACGGG
RNAcentral lists this long non-coding RNA (1022 nucleotides) under Setaria italica (foxtail millet). RNAcentral's name for it is "long non-coding RNA (SITA_LNC006088)". The record is from RNAcentral. Lineage: Eukaryota; Viridiplantae; Streptophyta; Magnoliopsida; Poales; Poaceae.